RNAcentral lists this unclassified non-coding RNA (1445 nucleotides) under Hevea brasiliensis (rubber tree). Lineage: Eukaryota; Viridiplantae; Streptophyta; Magnoliopsida; Malpighiales; Euphorbiaceae. The record is from RNAcentral.
UUAUAUUUUUCUGGGUGAAAUUAUUUCAUAUUUUGUUAUGUAUACCAUGGCAUAGAGCAUUUAACUAAUUUUGUUCUUACUAAUAAUAAAUCUACAAUAAAAAGUGUCUUACACCAAGCACUUUUCAUACGAGAGUUGCUCCUCAAUGGCCAAUUCCUCGACCAUGUUUCCAUGGUUAAGGGGAUUGAAAGCUUGGAUCUCAGAACACUUGGUAGGAAGCAGCUGUAUUAUGUUGGGGACGAGCUUGCUGAUCUUUGGAUGAUGAUGAUUGUAUAGACAUUUGAUGAUGUUUACGAGCAAUGACAACUGAAUUUAUCACUUCAUCAAUAGGAUGAAAUACAGAAAGAACUUCAAAUCCUACGAGAUCCCAAGGAUCCACCACAGGAUACAGAAAAGCCCUAGCACCAUGAGCACUCCUCAGCAUUAAAAUAGCCCCAGGAGCCAUGUACUUAGCCAAGUGAUGAAUGACCCUAAUCUUUUCCUCCUUGUCCAUCCCAACAAGAGCUGCCAAGAAAACUACAUCAAAUUCUUUCAAUCCAUUUGCAACAUUCAAGAUAUCAGCUGUGUGAAAGAAGAAUCGUUUGGAGAGGUCAGGGUGAGAAGAGGCCAGGCGAAGAGCCCUGGAAUUGGCUGAUGGGUCAAUAUCAUAGUUGUGGAAAGAGGUAGUGGUGAGGUGCUUGGAGGCUAACACGAUUGCAGUCAGGGGAAGAGGACCAGAACCCACAAAGGCAACUUGGCUUGGGACAAGAGGGUAAUGUUGUUUUAGGAUUGUGAACUCAAGGUGGCUAAGCUUAAGGUAGUUUGAAUAGUAAGGGAAAAUCCUGAGAUGGUCAAGUGGGUUUUCAAAAGAAGCUAAUACGGCAGAGAAAUGAGCCUCCAAGAGACCUUCAGCUUCUCCACAGAGUCUAAUGAGCUUAGAUCUGAUUUCUUGGAUUUUCUUGGAAAGGUUAUUAACAUCAAUAGGGUUUGGUGGCAUGCACGUGAGAAUAAGCUGUGUUAAGAGCAUGUCGACAUCUUUGGAAGGUUUCAAGCUCUCAAGGCUUGAGAUUUGAUCAUAAAAGCUGCAGAUUUUCUGUAUCAAGAGCUCUUCCUGGCAACCCAUGUCGACACUAUGAGGUUAUGUUAUGAUGAGAAAAAAAACAAAAACACUCAAUAGAAUUAGGUAUUGAAACCCAAGUCCCUUUCUCUUCACCAUUAGAGAGGAACCCUUCAAUCAGGUCUUUAUUUAUGGUUUCUCCCCUACGUUUGAUGGUUAACCAUCAAUAAAUGCAUAGUUAACUCACCAUCAUCAUCACUAUAAUAUCCAGAAAUAAUUAUAUAAUUAACCAAUGAUGAAGCAAGCUAGCCACCAUGCAACUGGUUAUUUUUUUUGUUUUUCUUUCAAGACUGAUGUUAACAAUCAGCAUCUCUCACUUCACAUUAGUCUUUGCCAAUUUUAAAUGAAA